AGCGCAGGCGGGAUAGCAAGUCAGCUGUGAAAACUAUGGGCUCAACCUUGGAAUUGCCGUUAUAACUAUUGAACUAGAAUGAUAGAGAGGAUAUCGGAAUACCCAGUGUAGGGGUGAAAUUCGUAGAUAUUGGGUAGAACACCGGUGGCGAAGGCGGGUAUCUGGCUAUAAAUUGACGCUGAGGCUCGAAAGCAUGGGGAUCAAACA
RNAcentral lists this ribosomal RNA (207 nucleotides) under uncultured bacterium. Its description in RNAcentral is "partial 16S ribosomal RNA". It matches the Rfam family "Bacterial small subunit ribosomal RNA", at positions 568 to 774 of the family's 1533-position model. The record is from RNAcentral.